Molecule: ribosomal RNA, 512 nt
Filed under: uncultured bacterium
Lineage: Bacteria
Description: partial 16S ribosomal RNA
Rfam family: Bacterial small subunit ribosomal RNA
Source: RNAcentral
GACGAACGCUGGCGGCGUGCCUAAUACAUGCAAGUCGAGCGAAUCAACAGGAGCUUGCUCCUGUUGAUUAGCGGCGGACGGGUGAGUAACACGUGGGCAACCUGCCUGUAAGACUGGGAUAACACCGGGAAACCGGUGCUAAUACCGGAUAAUCUUUUUCCUCUCAUGAGGAAAAACUGAAAGUCGGUUUCGGCUGACACUUACAGAUGGGCCCGCGGCGCAUUGGCUAGUUGGUGGGGUAACGGCUGACCAAGGCGACGAUGCGUAGCCGACCUGGGAGGGGGAUCGGCCACACUGGGAGUGAGACACGGCCAGGCCUCCGCCGGGAGGCAGCGGUAGGGAAUCUUCCACAAUGGACGAAGGUCUGAUGGAGCAACGCUGCGUGAGCGAUGAAGGCCUUCGGGUCGUAAAGCUCUGUUGUUAGGGAAGAACAAGUACCGGAGUAACUGCCGGUACCUUGACGGUACCUAACCAGAAAGCCACGGCUAACUACGUGCCAGCCGCCGCCGUAA